This 1459-nucleotide ribosomal RNA is filed under the name Turicibacter sanguinis. RNAcentral describes it as "partial 23S ribosomal RNA". It matches the Rfam family "Bacterial large subunit ribosomal RNA", at positions 488 to 1957 of the family's 2925-position model. Lineage: Bacteria; Bacillati; Bacillota; Erysipelotrichia; Erysipelotrichales; Turicibacteraceae. The record is from RNAcentral.
UAGUGAACCAGUACUGUGAAGGAAAGGUGAAAAGCACUUCGAAUAGAAGAGUGAAAUAGUUCCUGAAACCGUGCGCCUACAAGCGGUCGGAGCACCUUUUGGUGUGACGGCGUGCCUUUUGCAUAAUGAACCUACGAGUUACUUUUUCCGGCAAGGUUAAGCAUCUUCAGAUGUGCAGCCGAAGCGAAAGCGAGUCUGAACAGGGCGAUUAGUCGGAAGGAGUAGACGCGAAACCAAGUGAUCUACCCUUGGUCAGGUUGAAGGAUGGGUAACACCAUCUGGAGGACCGAACCGAUAAGCGUUGAAAAGCUUCUGGAUGAACUGAGGGUGGGGGUGAAAGGCUAAUCAAACUUGGAGAUAGCUCGUACUCCCCGAAAUGCAUUUAGGUGCAGCCUUGGGAGUUACUACUGUGAGGUAGAGCGACUGAUAAGAUGCGAGGGCUUCACCGCCUAUCAAGUCUUGACAAACUCCGAAUGCGUGUCAGUUCUAUGUCAGGAGUGAGGGCAUGGGUGCUAAGGUCCAUGUCCUAAAGGAGAAGAAUCCGGACCACCAGCUAAGGUCCCGAAAUAAUUGCUAAGUUGAACUAACGAAGUCAGAUUGCUAAGACAGCUAGGAUGUUGGCUUGGAAGCAGCCAUUCAUUUAAAGAGUGCGUAACAGCUCACUAGUCGAGCGAUCUGGCGUGGAUAAUAAUCGGGCAUAAACGAUCUGCCGAAGCCGUGGAUGUCGCAAGACAUGGUAGGGGAGCAUUCCAUGCGGCGUCGAAGAUAAGGGAUGACCCUUGUUGGAGCGCAUGGAAAAGCAAAUGUAGGUAUGAGUAACGAUAAGGGGGGCGAGAAACCCCCUCGCCGAAAGACUAAGGUUUCCUGAUCAACGCUAAUCGGAUCAGGGUGAGUCGGGUCCUAAGGCUCAGCCGAACGGCGACGCCGAUGGAAGAAUGGGUUAAUAUUCCCAUACUGCCUCAUGGAGUGACGUGGAGACGGAGAAGUGACAGUCCUGCCGGCUGACGGAAUAGCCGGUUGAAGGGUGUAGGAGUCGAUCAUGGUAGGCAAAUCCGCCGUGAGAUCCGAACCUGACAGUAUACCGAGUACUUGUACGAGGUAAUAUGGACGUAACCAUGCUCCCAAGAAAAUCCGCUAAACUUAUCCAUGCGGCACCCGUACCGCAAACGGACACACGUAGUCGGGUUGAGAAUACUAAGGCGCUUGAGUGAUUCACGGUUAAGGAACUAGGCAAACUGACCCUGUAACUUCGGGAUAAAGGGUCCCAACGAGAGUUGGGCGCAGAGAAUAGGUCCAGGCAACUGUUUAACAAAAACACAUGGCUGUGCUAAAUGGAAAGAUGACGUAUACAGCCUGACACCUGCCCGGUGCUGGAAGGUUAAGAGGAGAUGUCAUCGCAAGAGAAGCGUUGAAUUGAAGCCCCAGUAAACGGCGGCCGUAACUAUAACGGUCCUAAGGU